UCCUCGGUAGCUCAAUAGGCAGAGCGACCGGCUGUUAACCGGUUGGCUGUAGGUUCGAGUCCUACCCGAGGAGCCA
RNAcentral lists this transfer RNA (76 nucleotides) under Anaerolineales bacterium. RNAcentral describes it as "tRNA-Asn". It matches the Rfam family "tRNA". From Rfam's summary of the family: Transfer RNA (tRNA) molecules are approximately 80 nucleotides in length. Their secondary structure includes four short double-helical elements and three loops (D, anti-codon, and T loops). Lineage: Bacteria; Bacillati; Chloroflexota; Anaerolineae; Anaerolineales. The record is from RNAcentral.